GGGGCUGUAGCUCAGUUGGCUAGAGCGUCUGGCUGGCAGCCAGAAGGUCAGGGGUUCGAGUCCCCUCAGCUCCA
RNAcentral lists this transfer RNA (74 nucleotides) under Solirubrobacterales bacterium. RNAcentral's name for it is "tRNA-Ala". It matches the Rfam family "tRNA". Rfam says of the family: Transfer RNA (tRNA) molecules are approximately 80 nucleotides in length. Their secondary structure includes four short double-helical elements and three loops (D, anti-codon, and T loops). Further hydrogen bonds mediate the characteristic L-shaped molecular structure. tRNAs have two regions of fundamental functional importance: the anti-codon, which is responsible for specific mRNA codon recognition, and the 3' end, to which the tRNAs corresponding amino acid is attached (by aminoacyl-tRNA synthetases). tRNAs cope with the degeneracy of the genetic code in two manners: having more than one tRNA (with a specific anti-codon) for a particular amino acid; and 'wobble' base-pairing, i.e. permitting non-standard base-pairing at the 3rd anti-codon position. RNAcentral also lists the same sequence under 1 other name. Lineage: Bacteria; Bacillati; Actinomycetota; Thermoleophilia; Solirubrobacterales. The record is from RNAcentral.